This 944-nucleotide ribosomal RNA is filed under the name Escherichia coli 97.0007. RNAcentral's name for it is "partial 23S ribosomal RNA". The record is from RNAcentral. Lineage: Bacteria; Pseudomonadati; Pseudomonadota; Gammaproteobacteria; Enterobacterales; Enterobacteriaceae.
GCAAGAACGUUAUCCCCUUGCGCUGGCUGUGGUCGCUUGCAACACUGCCAGUACCGUUUCACUUCCUGCAUUACGCGAAAAGUUCGACUUCCCGGUUGUUGGUGUCGUGCCGGCGAUUAAACCUGCUGCACGUCUGACGGCAAAUGGCAUUGUCGGAUUACUGGCAACCCGCGGAACAGUUAAACGUUCUUAUACUCAUGAGCUGAUCGCGCGUUUCGCUAAUGAAUGCCAGAUAGAAAUGCUGGGCUCGGCAGAGAUGGUUGAGUUGGCUGAAGCGAAGCUGCAUGGCGAAGAUGUUUCUCUGGAUGCACUAAAACGUAUCCUACGCCCGUGGUUAAGAAUGAAAGAGCCGCCAGAUACCGUUGUAUUGGGUUGCACCCAUUUCCCUCUACUACAAGAAGAACUGUUACAAGUGCUGCCAGAGGGAACCCGGCUGGUGGAUUCUGGCGCAGCGAUUGCUCGCCGAACGGCCUGGUUGUUAGAACAUGAAGCCCCGGAUGCAAAAUCUGCCGAUGCGAAUAUUGCCUUUUGUAUGGCAAUGACGCCAGAAGCUGAACAAUUAUUGCCCGUUUUACAGCGUUACGGCUUCGAAACGCUCGAAAAACUGGCAGUUUUAGGCUGAUUUGGUUGAAUGUUGCGCGGUCGGAAAAUUAUUUUAAAUUUCCUCUUGUCAGGCCGGAAUAACUCCCUAUAAUGCGCCACCACUGACACGGAACAACGGCAAACACGCCGCCGGGUCAGCGGGGUUCUCCUGAGAAUUCCGACAGAGAAAGCAAAAAUAAAUGCUUGACUCUGUAGCGGGAAAGCGUAAUAUACACACCCCGCGCCGCUGAGAAAAAGCGAAGCGGCACUGCUCUUUAACAAUUUAUCAGACAAUCUGUGUGGGCACUCGAAGAUACGGAUUCUUAACGUCGCAAGACGAAAAAUGAAUACCAAGUCUCAAG